This 400-nucleotide ribosomal RNA is filed under the name uncultured bacterium. Its description in RNAcentral is "partial 16S ribosomal RNA". It matches the Rfam family "Bacterial small subunit ribosomal RNA", at positions 355 to 751 of the family's 1533-position model. The record is from RNAcentral.
UGGGGAAUAUUGGACAAUGGGCGCAAGCCUGAUCCAGCAAUGCCGCGUGUGUGAAGAAGGCCUUAGGGUUGUAAAGCACUUUCGGUUGGGAGAAAAAAUCCAGGGUGAACCCUGGACUUGAUGUUACCAGCAUAAGAAGCACCGGCAAACUCUGUGCCAGCAGCCGCGGUAAUACAGAGGGUGCAAGCGUUAAUCGGAAUUACUGGGCGUAAAGCGCGUGUAGGCGGACAAAUCAGUCGGAUGUGAAAUCCCCGGGCUUAACCUGGGAACUGCGUUCGAUACUACUUGUCUAGAGUAUGGUAGAGGGAGGUGGAAUUUCCGGUGUAGCGGUGAAAUGCGUAGAUAUCGGAAAGAACAUCAGUGGCGAAGGCGACCUCCUGGGCCAAUACUGACGCUGAGA